UACGUAGGUGGCGAGCGUUGUCCGGAUUUACUGGGCGUAAAGGGAGCGUAGGCGGACUUUUAAGUGAGAUGUGAAAUACUCGGGCUCAACUUGAGUGCUGCAUUUCAAACUGGAAGUCUAGAGUGCAGGAGAGGAGAAUGGAAUUCCUAGUGUAGCGGUGAAAUGCGUAGAGAUUAGGAAGAUCACCAGUGGCGAAGGCGAUUCUCUGGACUGUAACUGACGCUGAGGCUCGAAAGCGUGGGGAGCAAACAGG
RNAcentral lists this ribosomal RNA (253 nucleotides) under uncultured bacterium. Its description in RNAcentral is "partial 16S ribosomal RNA". It matches the Rfam family "Bacterial small subunit ribosomal RNA", at positions 524 to 776 of the family's 1533-position model. The record is from RNAcentral.